GACGAACGCUGGCGGCGUGCUUAACACAUGCAAGUCGAACGGAAAGGCCCCUUUGGGGGUACUCGAGUGGCGAACGGGUGAGUAACACGUGAGUAACCUGCCCUUGACUUCGGGAUAACUUCAGGAAACUGGGGCUAAUACCGGAUAGGAAUCCUUGCUGCAUGGUGGGGGUUGGAAAGCUUCGGCGGUUUUGGAUGGACUCGCGGCUUAUCAGCUUGUUGGUGGGGUAGUGGCUUACCAAGGCUUUGACGGGUAGCCGGCCUGAGAGGGCGACCGGCCACAGUGGGACUGAGAUACGGCCCAGACUCCGACGGGAGGCAGCAGUGGGGAAUAUUGCACAAUGGGCGGAAGCCUGAUGCAGCAACGCCGCGGGCGGGAUGACGGCCUUCGGGUUGUAAACCGCUUUCAGCAGGGGCGAAGCUUGUGGUGACGGUACCUGCAGAAGAAGCACCGGCUAACUACGUG
Molecule: ribosomal RNA, 465 nt
Filed under: uncultured bacterium
Lineage: Bacteria
Description: partial 16S ribosomal RNA
Rfam family: Bacterial small subunit ribosomal RNA
Source: RNAcentral